Molecule: ribosomal RNA, 740 nt
Filed under: uncultured bacterium
Lineage: Bacteria
Description: bacterial SSU rRNA
Rfam family: Bacterial small subunit ribosomal RNA
Source: RNAcentral
AGAGUUUGAUCCUGGCUCAGAACGAACGCUGGCGGCAGGCUUAACACAUGCAAGUCGAACGCACCGCAAGGUGAGUGGCAGACGGGUGAGUAACGCGUGGGAACGUGCCCUUCAGUUCGGGAUAACCCAGGGAAACUUGGGCUAAUACCGGAUACGUGCGAGAGCAGAAAGAUUUAUCGCUGAAGGAUCGGCCCGCGUCUGAUUAGCUAGUUGGUAGGGUAAUGGCCUACCAAGGCGACGAUCAGUAGCUGGUCUGAGAGGAUGAUCAGCCACAUUGGGACUGAGACACGGCCCAAACUCCUACGGGAGGCAGCAGUGGGGAAUAUUGGACAAUGGGCGCAAGCCUGAUCCAGCCAUGCCGCGUGAGUGAUGAAGGCCUUAGGGUUGUAAAGCUCUUUCGGCGGGGACGAUAAUGACGGUACCCGCAGAAGAAGCCCCGGCUAACUUCGUGCCAGCAGCCGCGGUAAUACGAAGGGGGCUAGCGUUGUUCGGAAUCACUGGGCGUAAAGGGCGCGUAGGCGGCCUGAUAAGUCGGGGGUGAAAGCCUGUGGCUCAACCACAGAAUUGCCUUCGAUACUGUCGGGCUUGAGACCGGAAGAGGUCAGUGGAACUGCGAGUGUAGAGGUGAAAUUCGUAGAUAUUCGCAAGAACACCAGUGGCGAAGGCGGCUGACUGGUCCGGUUCUGNNGCUGAGGCGCGAAAGCGUGGGGAGCAAACAGGAUUAGAUACCCUAGUAGUCC